UGGGGAAUAUUGGACAAUGGGGGGAACCCUGAUCCAGCCAUGCCGCGUGUGUGAAGAAGGCCUUAUGGUUGUAAAGCACUUUAAGCGAGGAGGAGGGUACUGGUAUUAAUACUACCAGCUACUGGACGUUACUCGCAGAAUAAGCACCGGCUAACUCUGUGCCAGCAGCCGCGGUAAUACAGAGGGUGCGAGCGUUAAUCGGAUUUACUGGGCGUAAAGCGUGCGUAGGCGGCUAAUUGAGUCGGAUGUGAAAUCCCCGAGCUUAACUUGGGAAUUGCAUUCGAUACUGGUUAGCUAGAGUGUGGGAGAGGAUGGUAGAAUUCCAGGUGUAGCGGUGAAAUGCGUAGAGAUCUGGAGGAAUACCGAUGGCGAAGGCAGCCAACUGGCGUAACACUGACGCUGAGGUACGAAAGCAUGGGGAGCAAACAGG
RNAcentral lists this ribosomal RNA (430 nucleotides) under Pseudomonadota bacterium. RNAcentral describes it as "Proteobacteria bacterium partial 16S ribosomal RNA". It matches the Rfam family "Bacterial small subunit ribosomal RNA", at positions 355 to 776 of the family's 1533-position model. Lineage: Bacteria; Pseudomonadati; Pseudomonadota. The record is from RNAcentral.